Molecule: ribosomal RNA, 497 nt
Filed under: uncultured bacterium
Lineage: Bacteria
Description: partial 16S ribosomal RNA
Rfam family: Bacterial small subunit ribosomal RNA
Source: RNAcentral
GAUGAACGCUGGCGGCGUGCCUAAUACAUGCAAGGCGAGCGAACGGACGAGAAGCUUGCUUCUCUGAUGUUAGCGGCGGACGGGUGAGUAACACGUGGAUAACCUACCUAUAAGACUGGGAUAACUUCGGGAAACCGUAGCUAAUACCGGAUAAUAUUUUGAACCGCAUGGUUCAAAAGUGAAAGACGGUCUUGCUGUCACUUAUAGAUGGAUCCGCGCUGCAUUAGCUAGUUGGUAAGGUAACGGCUUACCAAGGCAACGAUGCAUAGCCGACCUGAGAGGGUGAUCGGCCACACUGGAACUGAGACACGGUCCAGACUCCUACGGGAGGCAGCAGUAGGGAAUCUUCCGCAAUGGGCGAAAGCCUGACGGAGCAACGCCGCGUGAGUGAUGAAGGUCUUCGGAUCGUAAAACUCUGUUAUUAGGGAAGAACAUAUGUGUAAGUAACUGUGCACAUCUUGACGGUACCUAAUCAGAAAGCCACGGCUAACUACGUG